UGGAAACAUUCACAGGUACUGUCCUAGCUGAAUUGUGUACCCUACAAAGUUCAUGCUGACAUCUUAAUCCUCAGAACCUAAGAGAUCUACACUCUAGAAGGGGCUUUGGUGACAUUCUCAUUUAGACCAUGAAGACCAGUGCAGACCUCAGGUAAAAAAUUCAGGAUUGAACGGCUUAAUGCCUGAAGGAAUGGCAAAGACACCAGGGCUAACCAGGAGCAGAGGCUUCUCAUCCUGCACAACUGGUUCUGAUCACAGCUCCCAAUACUUGAUGUAAUGAAGCUGAAACUCUGACAUGUUACAUGGCUAAGGGACAACUUAGAGCAGCACUGAUGCGCUGCACCCAGCACAAGGACAGCUGCGACACACUUGUCAAGCUGCCUGCGUGGUCCUAAAGAAACAACAUCGUCCUUAGAGGAAGCUGCCCCUACAGCAAAGAUUCCCACAUAAUUCACUUUUCCACAGAGACCUUUUGGAAAUGAUCUCACUUUUGCUUGGUGUGCAUGAUGUAUGUAUGUGUCUAUACGUG
This 529-nucleotide long non-coding RNA is filed under the name Mus musculus (house mouse). RNAcentral describes it as "predicted gene, 19466". Lineage: Eukaryota; Metazoa; Chordata; Mammalia; Rodentia; Muridae. The record is from RNAcentral.